GUGCUCACUUCAGCAGCACAUAUACUAAAUUUGAAACAACACAGAGAAGAUUAGCAUGGCCCCUGAGCAAGGAUGACACGCAAAUUCGUGAAGUGGUCCAUAUUUUU
Erinaceus europaeus (western European hedgehog) is the source of this 107-nucleotide small nuclear RNA. The record is from Ensembl. NCBI's taxonomy places the organism in Eukaryota, Metazoa, Chordata, Mammalia, Eulipotyphla, Erinaceidae.